AAUUUUUCCACUUCAAAGUUGCUACAGGGUCAGGCAUGAGCACCUGCAGAGUUAACAUGGCUGUACAACAUAUUCACCUUGAAGCCUUUUGUAGCUGGUCCCAGCACAAAAAAAGGUGGAAUGGGCUGCCAUCAAAGCUUCAAGAUGCCCCAAGAAACAAGACUCGUUGUCCUAUGUCUGCUUAAUGAGAAAACGUAAUCCAUCUGGUUAUAAAACCUCAGCAGAAUACCAUACAAUGUAUCUCUUGGCUAGACAUAUGUUGUUGUUCAACUUUUAAGAAGAGCUAAAGAUCAAGGAAUUAGCAUGAAAAAUGUUCUAAAUUACAUCAUGACUGAAGAUUUUGCAAAUUUCCUCCCCUCUGAAGUUUACAAAAUGAUGUUUGCUAUUGUCACUUUGGAUUCUGCUGAAAUUGCGGGAUAUGUUUUGUACCAUUGUUGCUGCAGAGAAGAGCUCUGGAAGAGCUGUGCCAUGGCAGAUGUCUGAAGGAGAGAUUCCAUAUGGUUUUCAGAGGAGAAAAAUAGAGGAAAGAAGAAAGGAAAGGUGCUGAGAAAGGUAAAUAUUUAUACUUGCACAUGUGAUGAACAUCUCUGAAAAUUUAAUCUGUGGAAAAAGAUCUAUAUACCUUAAAUGAAAAAGAGAGGUAAAAACUACCCCACAGAUUCUGUCUAUAAAACUAUUUGAUGGGAUAUUUCAGGCUUUUAUAUCUUGUCCUGUACCUUGUUUUUAACUUCCUUUUAAAUAUUUUUAUCUUUGGAAUAAAGUGUAUAAUUUUUAAGUUGUACA
RNAcentral lists this long non-coding RNA (783 nucleotides) under Cyanistes caeruleus (blue tit). RNAcentral describes it as "lncRNA (ENSCCEG00000011942.1)". Lineage: Eukaryota; Metazoa; Chordata; Aves; Passeriformes; Paridae. The record is from RNAcentral.